CUACGGGGUGCUCCAGUGGGGAAUAUUGGACAAUGGGGGAAACCCUGAUCCAGCAAUGCCGCGUGUGUGAAGAAGGCCUGCGGGUUGUAAAGCACUUUCGGUUGGGAGGACUGCUUCUAGCACUAAUAUUGUUGGAAGUUGACGUUACCUUCAGAAGAAGCACCGGCUAACUCCGUGCCAGCAGCCGCGGCAAUACGGAGGGUGCAAGCGUUAAUCGGAAUUACUGGGCGUAAAGCGCGCGUAGGCGGCUAGAUCAGUCGGGUGUGAAAGCCCCGGGCUUAACCUGGGAACUGCAUCCGAUACUGUCUAGCUUGAGUACAGGAGAGGAGAGUGGAAUUCCACAUGUAGCGGUGAAAUGCGUAGAUAUGUGGAGGAACACCAAUGGCGAAGGCAGCUCUCUGGCCUGAUACUGACGCUGAGGUGCGAAAGCGUGGGGAGCAAACAGGAUUAGAUACCCUCGUAGUC
This 465-nucleotide ribosomal RNA is filed under the name uncultured bacterium. Its description in RNAcentral is "partial 16S ribosomal RNA". It matches the Rfam family "Bacterial small subunit ribosomal RNA", at positions 339 to 795 of the family's 1533-position model. The record is from RNAcentral.